AAACAAUGGUGUAGACACUUUCUCAGUAAUUCCUUGUAUCUUUCCCAUGCUUCAUACGAGGAUUCACUGUCACUCUAUACAAAUGAUGUGAUGUUGUUUCACAUCUU
Pistacia vera is the source of this 107-nucleotide small nucleolar RNA. Lineage: Eukaryota; Viridiplantae; Streptophyta; Magnoliopsida; Sapindales; Anacardiaceae. The record is from RefSeq and is a predicted model, not a curated record.